Molecule: long non-coding RNA, 707 nt
Organism: Astatotilapia calliptera (eastern happy)
Lineage: Eukaryota; Metazoa; Chordata; Actinopteri; Cichliformes; Cichlidae
Source: Ensembl
AUGGAGUAGCAUCAUCCCAAUCUAUGGAUGACUCCUGCCACGAUGUUCUUACCAGACAAGCAACAGCUCUUGUAUUGACUGCAAGAGAGAAACAUCGUCUUUCACAGAGUGGUGUGAAUGAUGUCGUUGCAGCAUUACAACAGUAUCAGGCAUCGUUGGUCAAUAAUCUGAGAAGUCAGGUACAAAAGGUUUUCCAGCAGCAUCAUGGAAGUGGACUUGAAAAAGAUGUUUUGGCAGUCUUCGACCAGAUUGAGGAUCCAUUUGCCUCUGUUUCAACAACAUACAGGCAGGAUGAUGUGAUAAAGAGAAAUUUCAAUUUUGUGGAGUCCGAGGAGGUUUGUGUUGGGUAUACUGCUGUCAUGGGGAAAAAAAGGGAAAAAAAGAUUCCUCACUACUGUGCCCAAAUGUUUUCAUUAUGUUCCGCUUGUCAGAAGUUUGGAGCAGUUAUUGUCCCAUCCAAGAGUUUUGGCAUUGAUAGAUGAGCAGAAAAAUUUGAGAAAUGAGUAUUUAUAUGAUAUCAUAGAUGGAGAACUCAUGAAGUCUCACCGUUUAUUUUCUGCACACCCCUCUGCCUUACAGAUUAUCCUUUACUCAGAUGAAAUUGAAAUUUGUAACCCACUUGGGUCUCAUGCCUCCAAAAAUAAGUUGGUAAUGUUCUAUUAUACUUUGGGAAACAUUAAUCCUAAAUAUCGAUCAAAACUACCUGC